GACGAACGCUGGCGGCGUGCUUAACACAUGCAAGUCGAACGGAAAGGCUCCAGCUUGCUGGAGUACUCGAGUGGCGAACGGGUGAGUAACACGUGGGUGAUCUGCCCUGCACUUCGGGAUAAGCCUGGGAAACUGGGUCUAAUACCGGAUAGGACCGCACUUUGUUGUGUGUGGUGGAAAGGUUUUUCUGGUGUGGGAUGAUCUCGCGGCCUAUCAGUUUGUUGGUGGGGUAAUGGCCUACCAAGACGGCGACGGGUAGCCGGCACGAGAGGGUGGACGGUCACAAUAGGACUGCGAGACGGAGCAGAAUCCUACGGGAGGCAGCAGUGGGGAGUAUUGCACAAUGGGGGAAACCCUGAUGCAGCGACGCCGCGUGGGGGAUGAAGGCCUUCGGGUUGUAAACUCCUUUCGCUAGGGACGAAGCAUUUUGUGACGGUACCUGGAGAAGAAGCACCGGCUAACUACGUG
Molecule: ribosomal RNA, 468 nt
Filed under: uncultured bacterium
Lineage: Bacteria
Description: partial 16S ribosomal RNA
Rfam family: Bacterial small subunit ribosomal RNA
Source: RNAcentral